RNAcentral lists this transfer RNA (66 nucleotides) under Odontobutis haifengensis. Its description in RNAcentral is "tRNA-Cys". Lineage: Eukaryota; Metazoa; Chordata; Actinopteri; Gobiiformes; Odontobutidae. The record is from RNAcentral.
GGCCCGCGGGGUGUAUACACGUUGGAUUGCAAAUCUGAAGUAGCAGGCUAGCGCCUGCCGGGGCUU